GGUUAUUCCGUUACGAACGAGACCUUAACCUGCUAACUAGUCUCCCUGUGAACAACGGGGUGUACUUCUUAGAGGGACUAUUGUGCAAGAAGCCAAUGGAAGUUUAAGGCAAUAACAGGUCUGUGAUGCCCCUAGACGUGCUCGGCCGCACGCGCGUUACAAUGACUGGCGCAGAAAGUUUUUCCUGGCCUGGGAAGGUUCGGGUAAUCUUAUUAAUACCAGUCGUGUUAGGGAUAGUUCUUUGGAAUUUUGGAUCUUGAACGAGGAAUUUCUAGUAAGUGCAAGUCAUCAGCUUGCGUUGAUUAUGUCCCUGCCGUUUGUACACACCGCCCGUCGCUUGUAGUAACGAAUGGUCUGGUGAACCUUCUGGACUGCUCAGCAAUGAGCGGAAAAAUAAGUAAACCCUACCAUUUGGAACAACAAGAAGUCGUAACAAGGUAUCUGUAGGUGAACCUGCAGAUGGAUCAUUA
This 470-nucleotide ribosomal RNA is filed under the name Tetrahymena sp. BOLD:AAO5061. RNAcentral describes it as "SSU rRNA". It matches the Rfam family "Eukaryotic small subunit ribosomal RNA", at positions 1318 to 1831 of the family's 1831-position model. Lineage: Eukaryota; Ciliophora; Oligohymenophorea; Hymenostomatida; Tetrahymenidae. The record is from RNAcentral.